GAGCUGUCAGUGGAGCAAAUGCGUGAAUUCUUCUAUCUUGAGACCCUAGUUUGGCACGCAAUUGCUGUGAGGCUUCCCCUUCUGCCUCCUUCUGUUGUGUCCAGAAGAGCCCUUACUAGUUUUAAUGAGAUUUCCCUCUUCUGUUCCUGAUAUUCAAGUUCUAGAAGCAUUCUUCAGUUAAAUGCUUGGUGUCCAAAAGUGCUCUGUUGUUUUGUUCUUGUUUUGUUUGUUCUCACAUUUCUGCCCCUGCCUGGAAAAGUCCUACAGACCCUUCGUAGGAAGUUGCUUCCUCCUAACCCCAACUCGCUUAUGCUCCUUCAGCAAAGACUUGACUGAACCACUCUUGUCAUAAAUGAUUGACAGCUUUGCUAUCCUCAGAUUGCUGUGGGCAGUGGCUGAGUGACUCAGCAGUUGCUAUAUUGUUUUUGAAACUUAGCCAUGGAAAGCCGGUAGGCCAUGGUUCUAACUUGUAUUUCCCUUGACAUGCUAAAUAGUGAGAUGCCGUUUUGCCAUUCCAUUCAUACAUUGCAGUUAUCUUUGGGGGGAGCAUUUUUGUCAUGAGGGAAGGGUAUGAGUAAGGAGUGAAUCUUUUGUCUCAAUGACUGGUGAUGGCUGCUCAUUCUCCCUACUGCAGCAACACUGGCUUCUCAGAAAUAUUUAAUUGUCUGGAACUUCCUUGUUUCUUGUGAGUCCACCCUCACCUUCUGGAACUGGCCAUUUUAAAAAAUGGUGAAUCUGAAGAUGUUGGGUACCUUUCACUGAACUGCAAUGCUCUCACUGCAUGCAUUGCACCAGGCUGAACACCCCAUGCCUUGCCUUACGCCUCUCAGUAAGUGCCAGAGAUCUCCUAUGUUGAGAAACUGGGAGAGCAACAAUGUCCCGCCUGCAGCACCUCAGCGGUUACUACUGGAUCGCCUGGGGUGUAGGGAAGGUAAGCCCAGGAUUGUUCACAAAGCCUUUUUUAACUUCUCCCACCCUUGAAGCCUUUCAUUUAGAUCAAAAUAUUUUGUUGAAGAGUCAAGCUGAAAGUACUAAGUUGUAGGUGCUGCCAUUAGGAAAAAAUUGUGCUAAGGUUGGCCUUAGGCUAGCUGUGUCGGCCUGGAUAACACCCAUUGUUAUCAAGUAUAACAUGAAUAUAUGUCAGGAGGUUAUAGAACCAGAUCUAAGCACUAGGGUACCAUGCACUGUUUCUGGAUGUAUGUAGUGAUGUUUCAGCUCUAAAUCACACAGCUUUCCUCUUUUAAUGUACAGUGGACGCUCAGGUUGCGAACGUGAUCUGUGUGGGAAGCACAUUCACAACCUGCAGCGUUUGCAACCCACAGCGCCACGUCUGCGCAUGCGUGGGUCACAGUUUGGCGCUUCUGCACAUGCGCAAGCGCCAAAACCUGGAAGUUACCCAUUCCAGUACUUUUGGGUUCGGCGCGGUGCGCAACCCAAAAUCGCGCAACCCGAAGCGUCUGUAACCUGAGGUAUGACUGUAUAUUGUAUGCCUUCCAGGGAGAGGCUGCGGUAUAUCUGUUGGUCAUAUGAAAUAGCUUUUUGAGGAAGAGUGCUCUAGCAAGAAUACCUGUUUUGUUUACAAGCUUAUGGUGCGUUGAGUGAACCUUAUGUAAGAUGGUGAAUACAAUGUGUUCUAUGUGAAGGAAGAGAGACAGCUUGGUGCCUGAGGUUAGAGAGAAAAUAUAGAUGGCACCUCUCACGGUGGUGUGAUGCAGCAGCAAAAAGCUAAUUCUAUUCUAGGCUGCAUCAAGGUAUAGAGUCCUGAUCAAGGGAAGUAGAAGUAGAAGUAGAAGUCCUGCUCUAUUCUGCCUUGGGUGAGACUACACUUGGAGUACUAUGUCCAAUUCUGGGCACCAGAACUGAAGAAGGAUAUUGAAAAGCUGGAAUGUGUGCAGAGGAGAGUGACAAAGAUGAUCAAGGUAUUUUUUAGCCUGGAGGAGACUGAGAGGGGAUAUGAUAGCCAUCUUCAAAUAGCUAAAAGGCUGUCACAUGGAGGAUGGAGCAGGUUUGUUUUCUCGUGGUUUGAAGGUUAGGACCAGUACCAGCGGAAUCAAGUUACAAGAAAGGAGAUUCCAGCUAAACAUUAGGAAGAACUUUCAAACAGCAAGAGUUGUUGGACAGUAGAAUGUACUCCCAGGACAGCUGCUGGACUCUCAUUCCUUGGAGAUUUUUAAUCAGAGAUUGGAUGCUUUAGUUGAUAUUCCUGCAUUGCUGGGGGUUGGACUAGAUGUUCCUUGGGGUUCCUUUCAACUCUACAGUUCUAUGGAAAAAACAGUGAUAGACUGAAUGGAAGUCAUGUUCAAUGCUCUUUAAUAGUACCCCAAAAUGUGCCACCUGAGGUGAGCUUAAUGGCUUGCCCUGUGAGUCUAUUCUUGUCCCUUCUGUUCCAAUUUAGUGAAUAAGGAAUUUAGAAUAGUCCACUUGAAUUAUUCUUUUCCACUAGGCAGAAUAUAAUGCUUAAAGCACUUAGGGUUUUUUUAAUACAGGGUUUUUUUAUAAUGAAAAGAAGCUCAGUUCUAUUUCUGAUGAGAGAAUUUUAGGAGAUGAUAGAAUUCAGAGCUGUGGACCUAUUGAGAUGUUACAUCAGCAAAAACCCAUGUUCAAGUAUUUUAAAACAUUAUGCUCUAGCAGACCUGACUGCUAAUUUUACUAGUCCAAACUUAUUUUCUACAUGACUGAAUCCAGAGAUUAAGUUUCAGCCUAUUACUUUAAAAUAAGAUUGGGUCUGAAGAACAUGCAGAGAGUUCGGGACAAGAUUUCACCUUUAUCAAACUGAACACCUCUAUAGUGCACAUUGUGACUUCAACUAGAAUAAUUUGAAGUGUGUUGCACUGUAUUCCAAUAGGGGCUUUUGUAUUUAACUUUAUAUGCUCUGUCAGCGCAAGUUAAAAACACUACAGUGCCUGCAUUUAUUGAGAGUCUUUUCCCAAAAAUCACAUUUUAAAAACAACCAAAUAAUGGCACUUUGCCACCCAGAUUUGUUUACCCUUGCAUUGAGUAUUUUCUCACUAUAGUGUUGUUUUGCAGAUGUGUCCCUUUUUAUGAGUAGAAAAAUUAACUGGACCAUUCAGCAAACUGAAGGAGGAAAUAAAAAUAAUACAACACCAGCUUUAACAUAGAAUUGUUUUAGCUGCCUUUGUUAUCUGUAUGUGUUUAAAGCAUCCUUGGGCAUGUGAUCAGAUUAGUUCUGAAAUUAGCAGUAUACAAAAGGUAUUUCUGGAUAUGUUAGGAACUUAAAACAUUAUUGUUUGAUUGCUGUAAUUGAAAUUAGCUUAGUUAUUCAGACAUGUUUUGUUGUAGUCAUUCCUAGACAUUUUUUCUUAUUUAUUUAAGAGAAGAGACAUGAAGAGAGCUACCAAAAAAACAACAACCCUUGUACUUUGUUUUAACAGAUGAUCCAUCCAUUGUGUUUCCGUAAAUUUAUAUUCAAGACAGCAAAUUAAGUUUUUAUUUGCAGUCCAGUAUAUUUUAUUUACAAAUAGUAUAAUACAGUCCCAGAAUCAUUACAGAAUAUAGCUUAACAAUUUUCAUAUCUAUAUGUUUAACCAUGACUUUUAAACAGGCAAGUUAUACUUUCUACUAAUUUUUCUACAAAAGUAUAACUUUUAAACAUGGUUAUCAAUAAUAAUAUGAUGUCGGGCAUCAGACUAUCAAAUACCAAUUAUGCACUUUGACAGACACCUUCUCGACUUAAAACAUUUCCACUAAAGGAUAUGGUUGUGCAGUAUAUUGUACUUAGUUGUUCCAAUGCACGAUACAUUGAAUUUUCAGUGUAUUGGAUAUCUCAUUAUUUUUAUUCUCCCACUAGCUUAUAGGCUACAUGCCAUACUCUCAAGACCUUUGGGUGACUAUUGUUAUAAUAAUAAUAAUAAUUUAUUAUUUAUACCGCGCCCAUCUGGCUGGGUUUCCCCAGCCACUCUGGGCGGCUUCCAAAAGAAUAUUAAAAUACUGUGAUACAUCAAACAUUAAAAGCUUCCCUAAACAGGGCUGCCUUCAGAUGUCUUCUAAAAGCCUGGUAGUUGUUGUUCUCUUUGACAUCUGGUGGGAGGGCGUUCCACAGGGAGGGCGCCACUACUGAGAAGGCCCUCUGCCUGGUUCCCUGUAACUUGGCUUCUCGCACUGAGGGAACCGCCAGAAGGCCCUCGGUGCUGGACCUCAGUGUCCGGGUAGAACGAUGGGGGUGGAGACGCUCCUUCAGGUAUACUGGACCGAGGCCGUUUAGGGAUUUAAAGGUCAGCACCAACACUUUGAAUUGUGCUCGGAAACGUACUGGGAGCCAAUGUAGGUCUUUCAAGACCGGUGUUAUAUGGUCUCGGCGGCCGCUCCCAGUCACCAGUCUGGCUGCUGCGUUCUGGAUUAGUUGUAGUUUCCGGGUCACCUUCAAAGGUAGCCCCACGUGGAUCGCAUUGCAGUAGUCCAAGCGGGAGAUAACCAGAGCAUGCACCACUCUGGCAAGGCAGUCCGCAGGCAGAUAGGGUCUCAGCCUGCGUACCAGAUGGAGCUGGUACACAGCUGCCUUGGACACGGAUUUAACCUGUGCCUCCAUGGACAGCUGUGAGUCCAAAAUGACUCCCAGGCUGCGCACCUGGUCCUUCAGGGGCACAGUUACCCCAUUCAGGACCAGGGAAUCCUCCAUACCUGCCCGCCUCCUGUCCCCCAGAAACAGUACUUCUGUCUUGUCAGGAUUCAAUCUCAAUCUGUUAGCCACCAUCCAUCCUCCAACCGCCUCCAGACACUCACACAGGACCGUCACCGCCUUCACUGGUUCUGAUUUGAAAGAGAGGUAGAGCUGUGUAUCAUCCACAUACUGAUGAACACCCAGCCCAAACCCCCUGAUGAUCUCUCCCAGCAGCUGCAUGUAGAUGUUGAAAAGCAUGGGGGAGAGGACAGAACCCUGAGGCACCCCACAAGUGAGAGCCCAGGGGUCUGAACACUCAUCCCCCCCACCACUUUCUGAACACGGCCCAGGAGGAAAGAGCGGAACCACUGUAUGACAGUGCCCCCAGCUCCCAGCCCCUCAAGACGGUCCAGAAGGAUGUUAUGGUCGAUGGUAUCAAAUGCCACUGAGAAAUCCAGCAGAACUAGGCAACAGCUCUCACUUUUGUCCCUAGCCCGCCGGAGAUCAUCAACCAGUGCGACCAAGGCAGUUUCAGUCCCGUGAUGAUUCCUGAAUCCCGACUGGAAGGGAUCCAAAUGGUCCGCUUCUUCCAGGCGUGCCUGGAGUUGUUCAGCAACCACUCGCUCAAUCACCUUGCCCAAGAAUGGAAGAUUUGAGACUGGGCGAUAGUUGGCCAUCGUGGCCGCAUCUAAAGAUGGUUUUUAAGAAGCGGUUUAAUAACCGCCUCUUUCAGUGGGUCUGGGAAGGCUCCUCACGGAGGAAGCAUUCACCACCCCACGAAGCCCAUCGCCCAGCCCUUCCCGGCUAGCUUUUAUAAGCCAGGAUGGGCAAGGAUCAAGGAGACAGGUGGUUGGUUUCACUCGUCCAAGCAGCCUGUCCACAUCCUCGGAGGUAACAGAUUGGAAUUGAUCCCACGCAAUUUGACUAGACAGGACUCUAGCACUCUCCCGCCCGGCCCUGCUCCCACGGUGGCGUCUACCUCUUCCCGAAUCUGAGCGACUUUAUCUGCAAAAAACUUUGCAAAAUCAUUGCAGGAGAUCAUGUGGCCCGUACUGGGCCCCGAUGUAGCAGGUGGUUCCGCUAAAUUGUGGACCAUCUGAAAAAGUCUCCUGCUGCUGUUUUCUGCAGAUGCAAUAGAGGCGGUGAAGAAAGUCUUCUUCGCCAUCGCUACCGCCACUUGGUAGGCUCGACAUUGAGCUCUAACCUGUGUCCGGUCAGCUUCAGAAUGGGUCAUCCGCCACCGGCGCUCUAGCCGUCUCAACGAUUGUUUCAUUGCCCUCAGAUCCGUGGAAAACCACGGGGCUGUCCGGGCUCCAUGCAAUCGGAGAUGGCACUUGGAGCCAAACAGUCAAUAGCCCUGGUUAACUCCACAUUCCAGCGGGCCACCAGGGAAUCAGCUGAAAGGCCAUCAACAUGGGAUAAAGCAUCCCCUACCACUCUCUGGAAACCAUUUGGAUCCAUUAAGUGGCGGGGGCGGACCACCCGAAUCGGUCCCACCUCCCUGCAGAGGGGAAGGGUCGCAGAGAAGUCAAGUUGCACCAGGAAGUGGUCUGACCAUGGCACUUCUUUCGUUUCGCUUUUACUUAGGGUCAGAUCACCAACAUCCAUGGAGGUAAACACCAGGUCCAAGGCAUGUCCGCGGCUAUGGGUUGGGCCAAACUUAUUCAGGGACAGCCCCAUGGAGGCCAUGCUUUCCACGAAGUCCCGAGCGGCCCCUUGUAAGGUCGUGUCGGCAUGGAUAUUAAAAUCCCCUAGGACAACCAAACUAGGUGUCUCCAGGAGAACAUCCGCCACGACCUGAAGCAGCUCGGGCAGGGAAUCCUUGGUGCAGCGGGGAGGUCGGUACACCAAAAGGAAUCCUGUACUGCCCCUAUUGCCCAACUUCCAGAACAUGCACUCAGAGAACUGGGUCUUCCCAAUAGGAUGCCUGGUGCAAACUAAUGACUUCCUAAAAAUCACUGCAACCCCCCCUCCCCACCCACAAGGCCUGGGUUGCUGUGCGUAAGAGAAACCUGGUGGACAAGCAGCGGCAAGAACAGGCCCAUCUGCUUCAUCCAACCAAGUCUCUGUUACACAUGCCAGGUCAAAUCCUCCAUCCAUGAUCAAGUCAUGGAUGGCAGUGGUCUUAUGAAUCAUUGACCUGGCAUUGCACAGCAGCACCUUCAGGUCAUGUGGGUAUCCCUUGCUGAUUCUAGUAUCCGUCCGGUCAGGACCAGACCCGGAGGCAGGGAUAGUCCUCAGACAACGACUAAACCUGCCUCCUCUGUAAUGACAUGGUCUGGUCUUAGCGUAACUCCUCCUCCUACCCGUGAUCACUGAGAUCGGUUGUCCCAGCGCAUCCCCCUCUGUGGAACAUGCCCCAGCCAUUUUGUUGGCUGGGACCCACUCCCCGGCAGCCCUGACCCCUCCCCUUAAGAACAAAAUAAGACC
This 7048-nucleotide long non-coding RNA is filed under the name Podarcis lilfordi (Lilford's wall lizard). The record is from RNAcentral. Lineage: Eukaryota; Metazoa; Chordata; Lepidosauria; Squamata; Lacertidae.